ACAUAGCAUAUUAUCUCAUGGAACUAUUGGUUGUUGAUUUACUUAAGUUGUUGCCUAUAUUGUCAAAUGCGUAUUUGAAGACUCGACGGAGUUGUGGAUUAGAAAUUCUCAUCUAGGCUUGUAACUUGAUUUAAUGUAGAUCUUUGGUGAUUAUUAUUAUUGUGAACUUUUAUUUAAACUUGAAUUAAUAAUUGUGCUUCAUUGACUUGACGGUUCUACUUGUCGCACUAUACGAUUUACUUUAUCUAA
This 249-nucleotide long non-coding RNA is filed under the name Nicotiana benthamiana. Its description in RNAcentral is "long non-coding RNA (NBEN_LNC007451)". The record is from RNAcentral. Lineage: Eukaryota; Viridiplantae; Streptophyta; Magnoliopsida; Solanales; Solanaceae.